RNAcentral lists this long non-coding RNA (744 nucleotides) under Pongo abelii (Sumatran orangutan). RNAcentral describes it as "lncRNA (ENSPPYG00000039589.1)". The record is from RNAcentral. Lineage: Eukaryota; Metazoa; Chordata; Mammalia; Primates; Hominidae.
GGUAUGGAGGCUCCACAAUCAUCAAGAAAGCAUAUUUCUUCUACCUUUCUUUUCCUUCAUCCUCAGUGUUAGCUUCCAUCCUCAUCAUGGACUCAUAAUCCAAAAUGGCUGCUGAAGUUCCAGUCAUCACUGUUUCAUCCCAGAAAGCAGAGUGGAUGAAUAGGGAACAUAAGAUUGCAUACAAUUGUCAAUUGUCCUUUUGAGGAGACUUCCAGUCAGUAUCUUCCAUUAUAUUUCAUUGAACGGUAUUGAAGAAAAGGAACAGCAACAGUAUACUUGCCACAUCUAAGGAGGGGAGGAGGGGCCCAUCUGUGCUCACCCCACUGCUUCAGGGUCCUUCUAACAAAGAGAUUGUGCUGCGGUGGCCCCAAGAACCUUCCAGCAGGCAAUGCCUGCUGCUUUGGAAGUAUUCAGAAGUUGCAAUGCUGGGAACCAAGAUGUCAGGUUAUUGAAAGGAGAGGAACUACCAGAUAGAACCUGGCUUUGUAGAGCAAAUAAAGUUCUUUGUUCAAAUGUUCGAAAUGCCAAGAACCUGGACCCUCCACUGGUAAGAACCAGACCUCAAGUCCAGAUCUUCCUUGUGGACAGGACAGAACCAAGGCCCAGCUCCCUCCUGACCCGUAGCCACAGAUGUGAUUCUGGCCGUGAAGCCCCCUUAACCCCAUGUUUUAACCACCGGAGUUAAAUGACUGCUAAGUAGGUGUGAGGCAGAAAAGGAAACAGGCUACAUGAUUAAAACACGAG